AUGGCCCUGCCCCGCCGCCUCCUCCCCCUCUUCCUCCGCCGCGGCGGCCGCCUCCCCUCCUCCCCCGCCCCCGCCCCCACCCCCGUCCGCGCCCUCUCCACGGCCGCCUUGCCGGCCGACGCCCUCGCCGCGGAGGAGGAGGACGACUCCAUCACCAUCAAGGGCGUGCGCAUCUCCGGCCGCCCGCUCUACCUGGACAUGCAGGCGACCACACCCGUGGACCCGCGGGUGCUCGACGCCAUGCUCCCCUUCUACCUCUCCCGCUACGGCAACCCGCACUCCCGCACCCACCUCUACGGCUGGGAGUCGGACGCCGCCGUCGAGGAGGCCCGCGCGCGCGUCGCGAGGCUCAUCGGCGCCGACCCCAGGGAGAUCUUUUUCACCUCGGGCGCCACCGAGUGCAACAACAUCGCCGUCAAGGGCGUCAUGCACUUCUACCGCGACCGCCGCCGCCACGUCAUCACCACCCAGACCGAGCACAAGUGCGUCCUCGACUCCUGCAGGUACCUCCAGCAAGAGGGGUUCGAGGUCACCUACCUCCCCGUUCGCCCCGACGGCCUCAUUGACGUCGCACAGCUCGCCGAUGCCAUCCGCCCCGACACUGGGCUGGUCUCCGUCAUGGCAGUAAACAACGAGAUUGGCGUUGUCCAGCCGCUUGAGGAGAUUGGCCGCAUCUGCCGUGAGAAGGGCGUGCCCUUCCACACAGACGCGGCGCAGGCUCUCGGGAAGAUCCCAAUUGAUGUCAACCAGAUGGGGAUUGGACUCAUGUCACUGUCCGCGCACAAGAUUUAUGGACCCAAGGGUGUCGGUGCGCUCUACGUGCGCCGCCGCCCUCGCAUUCGUGUGGAGCCACAGAUGAGUGGAGGUGGCCAGGAACGGGGCAUACGCAGUGGCACAGUGCCCACGCCCAUUGUUGUUGGAUUUGGUGCUGCCUGCGAAAUUGCAGCCAAAGAGAUGGACUACGAUGAGAGGCGAGUUAGCGCCCUGCAGCAGCGUCUGCUUGAUGGCAUCCGUUCCAAGGUUGAUGAUGUUGUCAUCAAUGGUAGCAUGGAGCACCGGUAUGCGGGCAACCUGAACUUGUCAUUUGCAUAUGUCGAGGGCGAGAGCUUGCUGAUGGGGCUGAAGGAGGUGGCUGUGUCAAGUGGCAGUGCAUGCACCAGUGCUAGUUUGGAGCCUUCCUAUGUGCUCCGGGCGCUUGGUGUGGAUGAGGACAUGGCACACACCUCCAUUCGCUUUGGCAUUGGCCGCUUCACCACCGAGGAAGAGGUGGACAGAGCAACUGAGCUCACUGUCCAUCAGGUGCUUAAGCUCCGUGAGAUGAGUCCACUCUAUGAGAUGGCUAAGGCAGGCAUCGACAUCAAGAGCAUCCAGUGGUCGCAGCACUGA
RNAcentral lists this ribosomal RNA (1386 nucleotides) under Triticum aestivum (bread wheat). Its description in RNAcentral is "partial small subunit ribosomal RNA". The record is from RNAcentral. Lineage: Eukaryota; Viridiplantae; Streptophyta; Magnoliopsida; Poales; Poaceae.